AGUGGCGGACGGGUGAGUAACGCGUAAGAAUCUAACUUCAGGACGGGGACAACAGUGGGAAACGACUGCUAAUACCCGAUGUGCCGCGAGGUGAAACCUAAUUGGCCUGAAGAAGAGCUUGCGUCUGAUUAGCUAGUUGGUGGGGUAAGAGCCUACCAAGGCGACGAUCAGUAGCUGGUCUGAGAGGAUGAGCAGCCACACUGGGACUGAGACACGGCCCAGACUCCUACGGGAGGCAGCAGUGGGGAAUUUUCCGCAAUGGGCGAAAGCCUGACGGAGCAACGCCGCGUGAGGGAGGAAGGUCUUUGGAUUGUAAACCUCUUUUCUCAAGGAAGAAGUUCUGACGGUACUUGAGGAAUCAGCCUCGGCUAACUCCGUGCCAGCAGCCGCGGUAAUACGGGGGAGGCAAGCGUUAUCCGGAAUUAUUGGGCAUAAAGCGUCCGCAGGUGGUCAGCCAAGUCUGCCGUCAAAUCAGGUUGCUUAACGACCUAAAGGCGGUGGAAACUGGCAGACUAGAGAGCAGUAGGGGUAGCAGGAAUUCCCAGUGUAGCGGUGAAAUGCGUAGAGAUUGGGAAGAACAUCGGUGGCGAAAGCGUGCUACUGGGCUGUAUCUGACACUCGGGGACGAGAGCUAGGGGAGCGAAAGGGAUUAGAUACCCCUGCAGUCCUAGCCGUAAACGAUGGAUACUAGGCGUGGCUU
Molecule: ribosomal RNA, 700 nt
Filed under: uncultured bacterium
Lineage: Bacteria
Description: bacterial SSU rRNA
Rfam family: Bacterial small subunit ribosomal RNA
Source: RNAcentral